GAGGGUGUAGCUCAGUGGUAGAGCGCAUGCUUAGCAUGCACAAGGUCCUGGCUUCAAUCCCCAGUACCUCCA
This 72-nucleotide transfer RNA is filed under the name Camelus bactrianus (Bactrian camel). It matches the Rfam family "tRNA". Rfam says of the family: Transfer RNA (tRNA) molecules are approximately 80 nucleotides in length. The record is from Rfam by way of RNAcentral. RNAcentral also lists the same sequence under 2 other names. Lineage: Eukaryota; Metazoa; Chordata; Mammalia; Artiodactyla; Camelidae.